CCUACGGGUGGCAGCAGUGGGGAAUAUUGGACAAUGGGGGGAACCCUGAUCCAGCCAUGCCGCGUGUGUGAAGAAGGCCCUCGGGUUGUAAAGCACUUUCAGUGAGGAAGAACGCCUGGUGGUUAAUACCCAUCAGGAAAGACAUCACUCACAGAAGAAGCACCGGCUAACUCCGUGCCAGUAGCCGCGGUAAUACGGAGGGUGCGAGCGUUAAUCGGAAUUACUGGGCGUAAAGCGCGCGUAGGUGGCUUGAUAAGCCGGUUGUGAAAGCCCCGGGCUCAACCUGGGAACGGCAUCCGGAACUGUCAAGCUAGAGUGCAGGAGAGGAAGGUAGAAUUCCCGGUGUAGCGGUGAAAUGCGUAGAGAUCGGGAGGAAUACCAGUGGCGAAGGCGGCCUUCUGGACUGACACUGACACUGAGGUGCGAAAGCGUGGGUAGCAAACAGGAUUAGAUACCCUUGUAGUC
Molecule: ribosomal RNA, 465 nt
Filed under: Vreelandella stevensii
Lineage: Bacteria; Pseudomonadati; Pseudomonadota; Gammaproteobacteria; Oceanospirillales; Halomonadaceae
Description: partial 16S ribosomal RNA
Rfam family: Bacterial small subunit ribosomal RNA
Source: RNAcentral